GCCCCGAUAGACCAAUCGGCAGAGUCGAUGGCCUCAAAAUCCAUUCAGUGUGGGUUCGAAUCCCACUCGGGGCAC
RNAcentral lists this transfer RNA (75 nucleotides) under Microbispora rosea subsp. rosea. RNAcentral's name for it is "tRNA-Leu". It matches the Rfam family "tRNA". Rfam says of the family: Transfer RNA (tRNA) molecules are approximately 80 nucleotides in length. Their secondary structure includes four short double-helical elements and three loops (D, anti-codon, and T loops). Lineage: Bacteria; Bacillati; Actinomycetota; Actinomycetes; Streptosporangiales; Streptosporangiaceae. The record is from RNAcentral. RNAcentral also lists the same sequence under 6 other names.